CCAAUAGCGUAUAUUAAAGUUGUUGCAGUUAAAAAGCUCGUAGUUGAAUUUCGGGAUCAAUAUAUCGGUCGUGCCAUCGGUACGUACUGGUAUCAUUGGUUUCUCCUUUCUGACGAACCAUGAUGUCAUUAAUUUGGUGUCAUGGGAAGUUAGGACUGUUACUUUGAAAAAAUUAGAGUGUUUAAAGCAGGCUUUAGCUUGAAUACAUUAGCAUGGAAUAAUGAAAUAGGACGUUCGAACCUAUUUUGUUGGUUUCUAGGAUCAACGUAAUGAUUAAUAGGGAUAGUUGGGGGCAUUAGUAUUCAAUUGUCAGAGGUGAAAUUCUUGGAUUUAUUGAAGACUAACUACUGCGAAAGCAUUUGCCAAGGAUGUUUUCAUUAAUCAAGAACGAAAGUUAGGGGAUCGAAGACGAUCAGAUACCGUCGUAGUCUUAACCAUAAACUAUGCCGACUAGGGAUCGGAUGAUGUUAAUUUUUUAAUGACUCAUUCGGCGCCUUACG
Molecule: ribosomal RNA, 500 nt
Filed under: uncultured Glomeromycotina
Lineage: Eukaryota; Fungi; Glomeromycota
Description: partial small subunit ribosomal RNA
Rfam family: Eukaryotic small subunit ribosomal RNA
Source: RNAcentral